GAUGAACGCUGGCGGCGUGCCUAAUACAUGCAAGUCGAGCGAACGGACGAGAAGCUUGCUUCUCUGAUGUUAGCGGCGGACGGGUGAGUAACACGUGGAUAACCUACCUAUAAGACUGGGAUAACUUCGGGAAACCGGAGCUAAUACCGGAUGAUAUUUUGAACCGCAUGGUUCAAAAGUGAAAGACGGUCUUGCUGUCACUUAUAGAUGGAUCCGCGCUGCAUUAGCUAGUUGGUAAGGUAAUGGCUUACCAAGGCAACGAUGCAUAGCCGACCUGAGAGGGUGAUCGGCCACACUGGAACUGAGACACGGUCCAGACUCCUACGGGAGGCAGCAGUAGGGAAUCUUCCGCAACGGGCGAAAGCCUGACGGAGCAACGCCGCGUGAGUGAUGAAGGUCUUCGGAUCGUAAAACUCUGUUAUUAGGGAAGAACAUAUGUGUAAGUAACUGUGCACAUCUUGACGGUACCUAAUCAGAAAGCCACGGCUAACUACGUG
This 497-nucleotide ribosomal RNA is filed under the name uncultured bacterium. Its description in RNAcentral is "partial 16S ribosomal RNA". It matches the Rfam family "Bacterial small subunit ribosomal RNA", at positions 28 to 507 of the family's 1533-position model. The record is from RNAcentral.